GACGAACGCUGGCGGCGUGCUUAACACAUGCAAGUCGAACGGAAAGGCCCUGCUUUUGUGGGGUGCUCGAGUGGCGAACGGGUGAGUAACACGUGAGUAACCUGCCCUUGACUUUGGGAUAACUUCAGGAAACUGGGGCUAAUACCGGAUAGGAGCUCCUGCUGCAUGGUGGGGGUUGGAAAGUUUCGGCGGUUGGGGAUGGACUCGCGGCUUAUCAGCUUGUUGGUGGGGUAGUGGCUUACCAAGGCUUUGACGGGUAGCCGGCCUGAGAGGGUGACCGGCGUCAGGGGGAAGGCGGUACGGCGGGGGGGAGGCGGGGGGGAGGCAGAGCGGGGGGGUGCGGCAGGGUGGGAGGCAGACUGCCGCGUCCGCGGGUGACGGAUGGGGGUCUAAGGAAGGUGAACCGGAGGCGCCUGUGACGGAGCGGAAGGGACCGUAAGGAGUAAAGAAGCACCGCAUAAAUUCAUG
This 468-nucleotide ribosomal RNA is filed under the name uncultured bacterium. RNAcentral's name for it is "partial 16S ribosomal RNA". The stretch from base 20 to 321 matches the Rfam family "Bacterial small subunit ribosomal RNA", at positions 47 to 358 of the family's 1533-position model. The record is from RNAcentral.